Molecule: long non-coding RNA, 208 nt
Filed under: Elaeis guineensis (African oil palm)
Lineage: Eukaryota; Viridiplantae; Streptophyta; Magnoliopsida; Arecales; Arecaceae
Description: long non-coding RNA (EGUI_LNC054538)
Source: RNAcentral
GUAAUGAUUGAUUAGAUGAGAUUUGAAUUAAACCUUCUCAUAAAUAUUAAGUCUAGUAAUUUUCUAUCAUUGUAAAUAUGUGGGUGUGCUAUUGGUGUUGAUUAUUCUUAGUUAAUUACAAUGGUUCAAUUGCAACAGAAAUAUACAACCACUCUAUUAUCAAAGAAUUGCUUCAGGGUAAGGAUGGGGUUGGGCCCAAUAUCUGUCA